AAAAUCUUCAACCACAUCUGGCCUUUAAUUCUCCCUGUUAUAUUUUCAAAAGACUCCUGGCAGUCUACCAAGGUUUGUUUCAAAAAAUUGGCUGAGUGACUAUUACUCAAAAAGGAGCAAGCUAACUACAAUCAUGGUGCAUUUCUCAUGGAGUCUAAUACAAAUCUGAAAGAAGUGAAGACUUGUGUUCCUACUGAGAACUUCCCUGCUUCUUGCCAGAGAAACUCCUGACACAAAGGACAGACAUACGACAUUGGAUUCUGUUAUGUUUUCUUUCCUCCUCUUCCAACCAGAUGAUAUAACUACCUGCAUUUCAGUCUCUGUUUCAUACAUGAAAAUUAAGAUUAAAUUUUAAGAGGAUUGUUAGCCAAA
Grammomys surdaster is the source of this 372-nucleotide long non-coding RNA. RefSeq lists it as uncharacterized. The transcript has 2 exons. NCBI's taxonomy places the organism in Eukaryota, Metazoa, Chordata, Mammalia, Rodentia, Muridae. The record is from RefSeq and is a predicted model, not a curated record.